UCCGAAAUAGUAUAGUGGCUAGUAUACCCCGCUCUCAUCAGCAAUGAUCGUUCCGGGGAGACCGGGGUUCAAUUCCCCGUUUCGGAA
This is a non-coding RNA of Dothidotthia symphoricarpi CBS 119687, 87 nucleotides long. The record is from the annotation of a RefSeq genome assembly. Lineage: Eukaryota; Fungi; Ascomycota; Dothideomycetes; Pleosporales; Dothidotthiaceae.